UGAAGUGGAUCUUAAUGUAUGUGAAGAGUAUGGCUGACACGAGAAUCCUUUACAUGAGGUAAUCUGGAACUGCUGAAGUGAGAGGGUAUGUGAACUCCAACUACACUGGAGAUUUAGUCAAAAUUUUAUUAUAUGUUACAUUUUUAUGCUAGAUGGCAAACCUAUCAGUUGGAAGUCCAUAUUACAAUACACUGUAGCAUUGUCAACAAUAUAGGAGCGGAGUAUAUGCUGGCUAUUGAAAUAGCCAAGAAAGCAGUCUAGCUUGAAGGCUUGGUUAGUGACCUCGGCAUGAAGCAGGAUAAAGUAACGAGUUCUUCUAAUAGUUGAGUGAAAUUUGUCUCGCUUAAACUUAGAUUGACAAUGUAAAGACAAAGUAUGUUGGAUAUAAAAUACCACAAAUUGAGGGAGUUCGUUUACAAGGAUGAUGGAAAAUUUUAACUAAUAAAGGUGUCUACAAAGUGUUAGAUUUUAUUGGGUUUUUUGUUGAUUUAGAACUUCACGGGCUUGCUGGGCAGCCCAAUAUUCCAUGGGCCUUGCCUGAGAGCCCAUCUAAGGUUUCCACAUGUGAGGAUUAGUCUCACAUUGAAAACUAAGUGUAUUGUUGUUAUUUAUAUACUCCUUCAUUCUCAAGUUAGUUGCUUAGGAGAAAAUGAGAGUUAUGCUCUCGACUAAACACACGCACGCACGGCACGAACACGAGCCGAGACGAGGGGGCGGCGGUGCGCGCGGUCCAAGCCACCCGGUUUAUUUUAUUUUAUCUUUAUUUUGUUUGAGAGCCCUAAUCCGUAUCCUAACCCAUAUCCCGUAUAUUACAUACUCGUAGUCUUAUCCGUAAGCUUAUCUUGCACUACACGGAAUUGACGCGUUGAAGCAAGAUAUUUGCCUUGGAUAUAUAUAUAUUGGAGGAGGUUGCAUGAGUUCAACCUCAACCUGGGCAUACCUAAGAGCAAAAUCCUAAUCUCUACCUCGUUUUCUUCUGUUUUCUCGCUAUUGAUAUUUUGCGCUGAUUUCCACCGAACUUUCUAAUAUUUCGCUGGAUCUAAAGCUUGUUGGAUUCAUCUUGCGCCACCUUGAAAGCGUGCCGACGGGGUGGAACGCGGACGUCGUAUCCCUAGAAGUAAUUGUCAGGAAGCCUCACACGUGGAGGGGCAAUUUCGCUUCUAAGACAGUACUCCCCACGCCUCGAUCCAUAGGCCUUUUCUAAUCCUUUUCUCUACAGUAUUUUUUAUUUAAUUUCUUUUCGAAAUUUUUCUAAAACUGAAAUUAAACUUUCGAAUUGCUUUUAAAGAAUAUUUUACUAAAAGAUCAAAAAGAUUUUCCAACACAAAGGACAAUAUAGAUGGUAUCAUAUCAAAACCUACAACAGGAUAAAGAACUUUCAAUUUCAUUAAGCACUAUUAUUUAUUUGUGUAUUUGUUUCUUAUUAUUUUUGUUAUUUUAAUCUGUAAAUAGCAGAUGUAGGAUGAUCCUAAAUCCCAAUUUUGUUAUUUUAAUCUGUUAUUUUAAUUGUUAGAUUGUGUUCUUUCUAAUUGUUAGAUUUGUGUAUUUGUUUCUUCUAGAAGGAAUUUUGACAUGAAAUUGAGAGUUCACAAGUUCAUAAGCAUGCUGAGAGUAUGAUUACAACUUAAAAAGUACCUAUGUGGUCCUUCCACAUUGUUGCAAUCAAUGGUAGAAAUGGAUGAGAUCGGAAGUAUGGGGUGAGNUAGUGACCUCGGCAUGAAGCAGGAUAAAGUAACGAGUUCUUCUAAUAGUUGAGUGAAAUUUGUCUCGCUUAAACUUAGAUUGACAAUG
This 1791-nucleotide long non-coding RNA is filed under the name Ananas comosus (pineapple). RNAcentral's name for it is "long non-coding RNA (ACOM_LNC028175)". The record is from RNAcentral. Lineage: Eukaryota; Viridiplantae; Streptophyta; Magnoliopsida; Poales; Bromeliaceae.